AAGGCGAGGCCGAAAGGCGUAGUCGAUGGGAAACAGGUUAAUAUUCCUGUACUUGGUGUUACUGCGAAGGGGGGACGGAGAAGGCUAUGUUGGCCGGGCGACGGUUGUCCCGGUUUAAGCGUGUAGGCUGGUUUUCCAGGCAAAUCCGGAAAAUCAAGGCUGAGGCGUGAUGACGAGGCACUACGGUGCUGAAGCAACAAAUGCCCUGCUUCCAGGAAAAGCCUCUAAGCAUCAGGUAACAUCAAAUCGUACCCCAAACCGACACAGGUGGUCAGGUAGAGAAUACCAAGGCGCUUGAGAGAACUCGGGUGAAGGAACUAGGCAAAAUGGUGCCGUAACUUCGGGAGAAGGCACGCUGAUAUGUAGGUGAAGCGACUUGCUCGUGGAGCUGAAAUCAGUCGAAGAUACCAGCUGGCUGCAACUGUUUAUUAAAAACACAGCACUGUGCAAACACGAAAGUGGACGUAUACGGUGUGACGCCUGCCCGGUGCCGGAAGGUUAAUUGAUGGGGUUAGCGCAAGCGAAGCUCUUGAUCGAAGCCCCGGUAAACGGCGGCCGUAACUAUAACGGUCCUAAGGUAGCGAAAUUCCUUGUCGGGUAAGUUCCGACCUGCACGAAUGGCGUAAUGAUGGCCAGGCUGUCUCCACCCGAGACUCAGUGAAAUUGAACUCGCUGUGAAGAUGCAGUGUACCCGCGGCAAGACGGAAAGACCCCGUGAACCUUUACUAUAGCUUGACACUGAACAUUGAGCCUUGAUGUGUAGGAUAGGUGGGAGGCUUAGAAGUGUGGACGCCAGUCUGCAUGGAGCCGACCUUGAAAUACCACCCUUUAAUGUUUGAUGUUCUAACGUUGACCCGUAAUCCGGGUUGCGGACAGUGUCUGGUGGGUAGUUUGACUGGGGCGGUCUCCUCCUAAAGAGUAACGGAGGAGCACGAAGGUUGGCUAAUCCUGGUCGGACAUCAGGAGGUUAGUGCAAUGGCAUAAGC
RNAcentral lists this ribosomal RNA (986 nucleotides) under Escherichia coli. RNAcentral's name for it is "partial 23S ribosomal RNA". It matches the Rfam family "Bacterial large subunit ribosomal RNA", at positions 1393 to 2364 of the family's 2925-position model. The record is from RNAcentral. Lineage: Bacteria; Pseudomonadati; Pseudomonadota; Gammaproteobacteria; Enterobacterales; Enterobacteriaceae.